Molecule: ribosomal RNA, 253 nt
Filed under: uncultured bacterium
Lineage: Bacteria
Description: partial 16S ribosomal RNA
Rfam family: Bacterial small subunit ribosomal RNA
Source: RNAcentral
UACGGAGGGGGCUAGCGUUGUUCGGAAUUACUGGGCGUAAAGCGCGCGUAGGCGGGCUGUUAAGUCGGGGGUGAAAUCCCGGGGCUCCACCCCGGAACUGCCUUCGAUACUGGCAGCCUAGAAGACGGUAGAGGGCAGUGGAAUGACGAGUCUAGAGGUGAACUUCGUAGAUAUUCGCCGGAACACCAGUGGCGGAGGCGACUGACUGGUCCGUUUCUGACGCUGAGGUGCGAAAGCGCGGUGAGCAAAUAGG